UACGAAGGGGGCUAGCGUUGCUCGGAAUUACUGGGCGUAAAGGGCGCGUAGGCGGUACAGUUUAGUCAGAGGUGAAAGCCCAGGGCUCAACCUUGGAAUUGCCUUUGAUACUGACUGUCUUGAGUUCGGGAGAGGGUGAGUGGAAUGCCGAGUGUAGAGGUGAAAUUCGUAGAUAUUCGGCGGAACACCAGUGGCGAAGGCGACUCACUGGCCCGAGUACUGACGCUGAGGCGCGAAAGCGUGGGGAGCAAACAGGG
RNAcentral lists this ribosomal RNA (257 nucleotides) under uncultured bacterium. RNAcentral describes it as "partial 16S ribosomal RNA". It matches the Rfam family "Bacterial small subunit ribosomal RNA", at positions 524 to 777 of the family's 1533-position model. The record is from RNAcentral.